RNAcentral lists this ribosomal RNA (441 nucleotides) under uncultured bacterium. RNAcentral's name for it is "partial 16S ribosomal RNA". It matches the Rfam family "Bacterial small subunit ribosomal RNA", at positions 338 to 795 of the family's 1533-position model. The record is from RNAcentral.
CCUACGGGAGGCUGCAGUGGGGAAUAUUGCACAAUGGGGGAAACCCUGAUGCAGCGACGCCGCGUGAGUGAAGAAGUAUUUCGGUAUGUAAAGCUCUAUCAGCAGGGACGAAGAAAGACGGUACCUGACUAAGAAGCCCCGGCUAACUACGGGCCAGAAGCCGCGGUAAUACGUAGGGGGCAAGAGUUAUCCGGAUGUACUGGGUGGAAAGGGAGCGUGGACGGCGGUGAAAGUCUGAAGUGAAAGCCCAGGGCUCAACCCUGGGACUGCUUUGGAAACUGUGGAGCUAGAGUGCUGGAGAGGUAAGUGGAAUUCCUAGUGUAGCGGUGAAAUGCGUAGAUAUUAGGAGGAACACCAGUGGCGAAGGCGGCUUACUGGACAGUAACUGACGUUGAGGCUCGAAAGCGUGGGGAGCAAACAGGAUUAGAUACCCCUGUAGUC